UUAGCUAGUUGGUGGGGUAAUGGCCCACCAAGGCUACGAUCAGUAGCUGGUCUGAGAGGAUGAUCAGCCACACUGGGACUGAGACACGGCCCAGACUCCUACGGGAGGCAGCAGUGGGGAAUUUUGGACAAUGGGGGCAACCCUGAUCCAGCCAUUCCGCGUGAGUGAAGAAGGCCUUCGGGUUGUAAAGCUCUUUUGUCCGGAACGAAACGGUUGGCGUGAACAUCGCCGACUACUGACGGUACCGGAAGAAUAAGCACCGGCUAACUACGUGCCAGCAGCCGCGGUAAUACGUAGGGUGCGAGCGUCAAUCGGAAUUACUGGGCGUAAAGCGUGCGCAGGCGGUUUUGUAAGCCAGAUGUGAAAUCCCCGGGCUUAACCUGGGAAUGGCAUUUGGGACUGCAAGGCUUGAGUGCGGCAGAGGAGACUGGAAUUCCUGGUGUAGCAGUGAAAUGCGUAGAUAUCAGGAGGAACACCGAUGGCGAAGGCAGGUCUCUGGGCUGACACUGACGCUCAUGCACGAAAGCGUGGGGAGCAAACAGGAUUAGAUA
Molecule: ribosomal RNA, 551 nt
Filed under: uncultured bacterium
Lineage: Bacteria
Description: bacterial SSU rRNA
Rfam family: Bacterial small subunit ribosomal RNA
Source: RNAcentral